This is a small nuclear RNA of Erinaceus europaeus (western European hedgehog), 107 nucleotides long. The record is from Ensembl. NCBI's taxonomy places the organism in Eukaryota, Metazoa, Chordata, Mammalia, Eulipotyphla, Erinaceidae.
GUGCUUGCUUCAGCAGCACAUACACUAAAAUUGGAACCAUACAGAGAAGAUUCACAUGGCCCCUGCACAAGGAUGACAUGCAUAUUUGUGAAGCAUUCCAUAUUAAA